Long non-coding RNA from Dermacentor silvarum, 132 nucleotides. RefSeq lists it as uncharacterized. The transcript is spliced from 3 exons. Lineage: Eukaryota; Metazoa; Arthropoda; Arachnida; Ixodida; Ixodidae. The record is from RefSeq and is a predicted model, not a curated record.
AGGUCCCACCGGAGGAAGGCGAAAACGGCGCAGAAGGAGGCGUCGAAGGAGGCGUUAUCGCAGGAACCAGCGUUCAGCUGCCGAGGAGACCAUGGAUGUGGUGCAGGAGGAGCGUUCAGCUGCCGAGGAGAC